AGUCAUAUGCUUGUCUCAAAGAUUAGCCAUGCAUGUCUCAGUAUAAGUUUUUACACGGCGAAACUGCGAAUGGCUCAUUAAAACAGUUAUAAUUCAUUUGAUGGUCGAAUUUACAUGGAUACCUGAGGUAAUUCUUGAGCUAAUACAUGCAUCCAAACCCGACUUCGCAGAAGGGUUGUGUUUAUUAGAUACAGAACCAACUCAGGCUUGCCUGAUGUUGAGAUGACUUAUGAUAACUUGAUGAAUCGUAUAGCUCAUGCUGACGAUGGAUCAUUCAAGUUUCUGACCUAUCAGCUUUCGACGGUAGGGUAUUGGCCUACCGUUGCAAUGACGGGUAACGGAGAAUUAGGGUUUGAUUCCGGAGAGGGAGCCUGAGAAAUGGCUACCACAUCUAAGGAAGGCAGCAGGCGCGCAAAUUACCCAAUUCAGACACUGAGAGGUAGUGACAAGAAAUAACAAUGCAGGGCAUCCAUGUCUUGCAAUUGGAAUGAAAGA
This 495-nucleotide ribosomal RNA is filed under the name uncultured marine eukaryote. RNAcentral describes it as "bacterial SSU rRNA". It matches the Rfam family "Eukaryotic small subunit ribosomal RNA", at positions 22 to 521 of the family's 1831-position model. The record is from RNAcentral.